GAUGAACGCUGGCGGCGUGCCUAAUACAUGCCAGUCGAGCGAACGGACGAGAAGCUUGCUUCUCUGAUGUUAGCGGCGGACGGGUGAGUAACACGUGGAUAACCUACCUAUAAGACUGGGAUAACUUCGGGAAACCGUAGCUAAUACCGGAUAAUAUUUUGAACCGCAUGGUUCAAAAGUGAAAGACGGUCUUGCUGUCACUUAUAGAUGGAUCCGCGCUGCAUUAGCUAGUUGGUAAGGUAACGGCUUACCAAGGCAACGAUGCAUAGCCGACCUGAGAGGGUGAUCGGCCACACUGGAACUGAGACACGGUCCAGACUCCUACGGGAGGCAGCAGUAGGGAAUCUUCCGCAAUGGGCGAAAGCCUGACGGAGCAACGCCGCGUGAGUGAUGAAGGUCUUCGGAUCGUAAAACUCUGUUAUUAGGGAAGAACAUAUGUGUAAGUAACUGUGCACAUCUUGACGGUACCUAAGCAGAAAGCCACGGCUAACUACGU
This 496-nucleotide ribosomal RNA is filed under the name uncultured bacterium. RNAcentral's name for it is "partial 16S ribosomal RNA". It matches the Rfam family "Bacterial small subunit ribosomal RNA", at positions 28 to 506 of the family's 1533-position model. The record is from RNAcentral.